GACGAACGCUGGCGGCGCGCUUAACACAUGCAAGUCGAGCGAUGAAAUUUCGACAGAUCCCUUCGGGGUGAAGAUGAAAUGGAUUAGCGGCGGACGGGUGAGUAACACGUGAGUAACCUGCCUUUGACAUUGGGAUAGCCUCGGGAAACUGGGAUUAAUACCAAAUGACACUAACUGAUCACAUGAUCAAUUAGUCAAAGAAAUUCGGUCAAAGAUGGACUCGCGGCUGAUUAGCUAGUUGGUGAGGUAACGGCCCACCAAGGCGACGAUCAGUAGCCGGCCUGAGAGGGUGAUCGGCCACAUUGGAACUGAGACACGGUCCAAACUCCUACGGGAGGCAGCAGUGGGGAAUAUUGCACAAUGGGGGAAACCCUGAUGCAGCGACGCCGUGUGAGCGAAGAAGGCCUUCGGGUCGUAAAGCUCUUUUAUGAGGGAAGAUAAUGACGGUACCUCAAGAAAAAGCCCCGGCUAACUACGUG
Molecule: ribosomal RNA, 479 nt
Filed under: uncultured bacterium
Lineage: Bacteria
Description: partial 16S ribosomal RNA
Rfam family: Bacterial small subunit ribosomal RNA
Source: RNAcentral